UACGUAGGGGGCUAGCGUUGUCCGGAAUCAUUGGGCGUAAAGCGCGUGUAGGCGGCCCGGUAAGUCCGCUGUGAAAGUCGAGGGCUCAACCCUCGAAAGCCGGUGGAUACUGGCGGGCUCGAGUGCGGGAGAGGCGAGUGGAAUUCCUGGUGUAGCGGUGGAAUGCGUAGAUAUCAGGAGGAAUACCGGUGGCGAAAGCGACUCUCUGGACGGCAACUGACGCUGAGGCACGAAAGCGUGGGGAGCAAACAGG
Molecule: ribosomal RNA, 253 nt
Filed under: uncultured bacterium
Lineage: Bacteria
Description: partial 16S ribosomal RNA
Rfam family: Bacterial small subunit ribosomal RNA
Source: RNAcentral